This 221-nucleotide long non-coding RNA is filed under the name Elaeis guineensis (African oil palm). RNAcentral describes it as "long non-coding RNA (EGUI_LNC035921)". Lineage: Eukaryota; Viridiplantae; Streptophyta; Magnoliopsida; Arecales; Arecaceae. The record is from RNAcentral.
UCCCAAUCAACAUACAUAGAUACCAUGCUAAAAUGGUUUAGCAUGAAAAAUUUCAAGAAAGGCUCUUCUGAUAGGUCAUGAAAUUUUUCUCUCGAAGAAAGAUUGUUCGACAACCCCUCAAGAGAGAGAGAGAGAGCCCUCAAGAGAGAGAGAGAGAGCAUAUGAGUAGAAUUUUAUAUACCUCGACAGUGGGUUGUAUAAUGUACGUCAUGACAUGUACA